UAUCUGAUGGCGUGCCUCCCA
RNAcentral lists this non-coding RNA (21 nucleotides) under Arabidopsis thaliana (thale cress). Lineage: Eukaryota; Viridiplantae; Streptophyta; Magnoliopsida; Brassicales; Brassicaceae. The record is from RNAcentral.